CACGUGAGAAUUUACCUUUAGGAGGGGAAUAACAGUUCGGAAACGAUUAGUCUAAUGCCGCAUAUCAUUUAUAUGAAAGAAGAAAUUUCGCCUAAAAGUAAAAGCUUAGCGUCUGAUUAGCUAGUUGGUAAGGGUAAAGGCCUACCAAGGCGACGAUCAGUAGCUGGGUUUGGAGAGGACGACCAGUCACCACUGGAACUGAGACACGGUCCAGACUCCUACGGGAGGCAGCAGUGGGGAAUUUUCCGCAAUGGGCGAAAGCCUGACGGAGCAAUACCGCGUGAGGGAUGACAGCCUGUG
This 300-nucleotide ribosomal RNA is filed under the name uncultured bacterium. RNAcentral describes it as "bacterial SSU rRNA". It matches the Rfam family "Bacterial small subunit ribosomal RNA", at positions 114 to 420 of the family's 1533-position model. The record is from RNAcentral.